This 501-nucleotide long non-coding RNA is filed under the name Zostera marina. RNAcentral's name for it is "long non-coding RNA (ZMAR_LNC002510)". The record is from RNAcentral. Lineage: Eukaryota; Viridiplantae; Streptophyta; Magnoliopsida; Alismatales; Zosteraceae.
GCAAUAGCAGGUUGUGGAGGAGCCACAGUACCACGACCCUGCUGCUGAUAUUGUGGAGCAAUCAUACCACCACGUCCCGAGUACUGAGGAGUGGCACUAGGCUGUUGAGGCAUCACACCACGGCCCGGAUACUGAGCACUAACACCAGGUUGCUGAGAAGGCAUACCACCACGACCCUGGUACUGAACACCCCCACCAGGUUGCUGAGGAGGCGCACCACCACGACCCUGGUACUGAACACCCCCACCAGGUUGCUGAGGAGGCGCGCCACCACGACCCUGGUACUGAACACCCCCACUAGGUUGCUGAGGAACCAUACCACCACGACCCUGGUACUGAGCUAUACUGCCAGGUUGCUGAUGAGGCAUGCCACCACGGCCCUGAUACGGAGCGCCACUAGCAGACUGUUGAGGAGGCACACCACCACGACCAGGUUGAUGAGGUGCCAUACCACCCCGACUGUAUCCACCACCACGUGCUUGAUAAAAACCUCCAGUCCCU